This 496-nucleotide ribosomal RNA is filed under the name uncultured bacterium. Its description in RNAcentral is "partial 16S ribosomal RNA". It matches the Rfam family "Bacterial small subunit ribosomal RNA", at positions 29 to 507 of the family's 1533-position model. The record is from RNAcentral.
AUGAACGCUGGCGGCGUGCCUAAUACAUGCAAGUCGAGCGAACAGAUGAGGAGCUUGCUCCUCUGACGUUAGCGGCGGGCGGGUGAGUAACACGUGGAUAACCUACCUAUAAGACUGGGAUAACUUCGGGAAACCGGAGCUAAUACCGGAUAAUAUAUUGAACCGCAUGGUUCAAUAGUGAAAGACGGUUUUGCUGUCACUUAUAGAUGGAUCCGCGCCGCAUUAGCUAGUUGGUAAGGUAACGGCUUACCAAGGCGACGAUGCGUAGCCGACCUGAGAGGGUGAUCGGCCACACUGGAACUGAGACACGGUCCAGACUCCUACGGGAGGCAGCAGUAGGGAAUCUUCCGCAAUGGGCGAAAGCCUGACGGAGCAACGCCGCGUGAGUGAUGAAGGUCUUCGGAUCGUAAAACUCUGUUAUUAGGGAAGAACAAAUGUGUAAGUAACUAUGCACGUCUUGACGGUACCUAAUCAGAAAGCCACGGCUAACUACGUG